UACCGAGUUUACAACUCCCAAACCCAAUGUGAACGUUACCAAACUGUUGCCUCGGCGGGGUCACGCCCCGGGUGCGUAAAAGCCCCGGAACCAGGCGCCCGCCGGAGGAACCAACCAAACUCUUUCUGUAGUCCCCUCGCGGACGUAUUUCUUACAGCUCUGAGCAAAAAUUCAAAAUGAAUCAAAACUUUCAACAACGGAUCUCUUGGUUCUGGCAUCGAUGAAGAACGCAGCGAAAUGCGAUAAGUAAUGUGAAUUGCAGAAUUCAGUGAAUCAUCGAAUCUUUGAACGCACAUUGCGCCCGCCAGUAUUCUGGCGGGCAUGCCUGUCCGAGCGUCAUUUCAACCCUCGAACCCCUCCGGGGGAUCGGCGUUGGGGAUCGGGACCCCUCACCGGGUGCCGGCCCUGAAAUACAGUGGCGGUCUCGCCGCAGCCUCUCCUGCGCAGUAGUUUGCACAACUCGCACCGGGAGCGCGGCGCGUCCACGUCCGUAAAACACCCAACUUUCUGAAAUGUUGACCUCGGAUCAGGUAGGAAUACCCGCUGAACUUAAGCAUAUCAAUAAGCGGAGGAAAAGAAACCAACAGGGAUUGCCCCAGUAACGGCGAGUGAAGCGGCAACAGCUCAAAUUUGAAAUCUGGCCCCUCCGGGUCCGAGUUGUAAUUUGUAGAGGAUGCUUUUGGUGACGUGCCGCCCGAGUUCCC
RNAcentral lists this ribosomal RNA (704 nucleotides) under fungal endophyte. RNAcentral describes it as "eukaryotic LSU rRNA". The stretch from base 186 to 339 matches the Rfam family "5.8S ribosomal RNA". Lineage: Eukaryota; Fungi. The record is from RNAcentral.